AGCCCAGCCAGCCGCACUGCGAGCUGGAACAACACAGGGAUAAACAGAAUAUCCACCUAUGACUCCAGCUUCAUGUCUCAUCCUCAUAAAAUGACUUUAUUCGGCAGUCUGGACUGAUAUAUAAACAUUGAAACCUCUGAAUUACGUGAUUUUCGGGAUACACUUCUCUGCCUGUAAACAGUUUAAACGACUUAUUGAACCAGCUUUCAACCCUGGUGUUGUCAGUGCGUCCAGUCAUCGAUCAUCUGCCCCCGGUGCCAGAAACGGUGUCAUAACAUAAUAAUGCGGCUUCACACAUUCAGCGGUGAUUCCUGCGGUAAUACCCGAGCGGUGGGAUCCGAUGGGACAAAUUUACAAGCAUGAAAUGACUAUCAAAGCUUCCUGCAGUCCGGCCGGCGAGGCUCCGGGUCGCGGACAAGCAGAGAAGCCUCGAAGCCGCGCAGGACGCACGGACUUUUACGCACAGAGAUACCGGAUCAAAUAAGAAACUGUGCUGACUUGUGCUCGUGGGGUUUGUUAAUUCAUUAAUUUGUUGCUGUUUGAAGAAACAAGGAGCAACUGGCAGCCUGAGGAGUCAAACUGAGGUCAAACUUUUUGCAGCCCCGCAGCUCUGCGCCCAAACGUGUUGGGAUCUGCAAAAAAAGGCCACCGAGUCUCUCUGCUUUGUGUCACUGCAGCAGCACACAGGCAGACCUGCUGCAAAGUUUUCACAGCUUAUCUAAUUAUAUGAAACUACUAGUUGUAUUAUCGCCUGUCAGAAUAUCCAGCACGAUUCAUUAGGGUGCAUUUAGUCGCUGUGAGCUCCGGUAGGGAAUUAUUCAGACAGGAAAAAAGGGCGAUUGAAAGUGCACAAUAAAAUGUUUCUCUAGCGUUGGAGAUUUAUUUUAAAGAGUGAGUGUAAAUGCGAGGUAGCAUGCGGUGCCAUAUAAGAACAGCAUACAUGAUUCUCCAUCAUCGUUUACAAAUUGUUACUAAUUUAUUAAAGUGUAGUGGUUAAAUUAUUUUAACAUAAAGUUUGUCUCAUAUUAUUGCACGAUAAUUUAUUUAAAUCAAUGAAUAUAUUGAUACACUUCCUACACUAAUAUCUGGGGAGUGAGUAACCUAUAAUUAUGGCUCCGAAACCAUCAUAGUUAAUAGUUUGGGUUGUGUUUUAUGGUGUAAAAUCACAAUUUUGGUUUAAUGGCAAGGCUCUUAUUAUCACAAUUCUCAUUUUAAAACAUGAAAUUUUUCAUUUCAACAGUAUCUUUUUUUCCUCAGAGUGUUCACUUCUGCUGGAUCCUGCAGUUUGGCCCAAAUGUUAAUGUGAGGCUCCUCUUGCCUCUCACACACAUGAAUGCUUAAUCAUUUGCGCCUUCUACCGGAGCUGCUGGAAAUUACAUGUACUGCAGGAGAGGCAGGAGAGAGGAGA
This is a long non-coding RNA of Thunnus maccoyii (southern bluefin tuna), 1408 nucleotides long. RefSeq lists it as uncharacterized. The transcript is spliced from 3 exons. The record is from RefSeq and is a predicted model, not a curated record. Lineage: Eukaryota; Metazoa; Chordata; Actinopteri; Scombriformes; Scombridae.